RNAcentral lists this small nuclear RNA (18 nucleotides) under Arabidopsis thaliana (thale cress). RNAcentral's name for it is "snRNA_11763". Lineage: Eukaryota; Viridiplantae; Streptophyta; Magnoliopsida; Brassicales; Brassicaceae. The record is from RNAcentral.
AACUCUGGUGGAAGCCCG